GGACGAACGCUGGCGGCGUGCCUAACACAUGCAAGUCGAACGGGGUGAUUCCUUCGGGGAUCACUUAGUGGCGAACGGGUGAGUAACGCGUGAGAAACCUGCCUUCAGUGGGGGACAACAGUUGGAAACGACUGCUAAUACCGCAUAAUGUAUAUUGGGGGCAUCCCUGAUAUACCAAAGCUUUAUGUGCUGAAAGAUGGUCUCGCGUCUGAUUAGCUAGAUGGCGGGGUAACGGCCCACCAUGGCGACGAUCAGUAGCCGGUCUGAGAGGAUGAACGGCCACAUUGGGACUGAGAUACGGCCCAGACUCCUACGGGAGGCAGCAGUGGGGAAUAUUGGGCAAUGGGGGAAACCCUGACCCAGCAACGCCGCGUGAAGGAAGAAGGCCUUCGGGUUGUAAACUUCUUUUAGUAGGGACGAAUACGUAACGGUACCUACAGAAAAAGCAACGGCUAACUACGUG
RNAcentral lists this ribosomal RNA (463 nucleotides) under uncultured bacterium. RNAcentral describes it as "bacterial SSU rRNA". It matches the Rfam family "Bacterial small subunit ribosomal RNA", at positions 27 to 507 of the family's 1533-position model. The record is from RNAcentral.